This 74-nucleotide transfer RNA is filed under the name Candidatus Woesearchaeota archaeon. RNAcentral's name for it is "tRNA-Thr". It matches the Rfam family "tRNA". Rfam says of the family: Transfer RNA (tRNA) molecules are approximately 80 nucleotides in length. Their secondary structure includes four short double-helical elements and three loops (D, anti-codon, and T loops). Lineage: Archaea; Nanobdellati; Candidatus Woesearchaeota. The record is from RNAcentral.
GCCUCCGUAGCUCAGUCAGUUAGAGCGUCGCUCUCGUAAAGCGAAGGUCGAGGGUGCAAAUCCCUUCGGAGGCU